AGUGAACGCUGGCGGUAGGCCUAACACAUGCAAGUCGAACGGCAGCACAGUAAGAGCUUGCUCUUACGGGUGGCGAGUGGCGGAUGGGUGAGGAAUACAUCGGAAUCUACUUUUUCGUGGGGGAUAACGUCGGGAAACUUACGCUAAUACCGCAUACGACCUACGGGUGAAAGCAGGGGAUCUUCGGACCUUGCGCGAUUGAAUGAGCCGAUGUCGUAUUAGCUAGUUGGCGGGGUAAAGGCCCACCAAGGCGACGAUCCGUAGCUGGGCUGAGAGGAUGAUCAGCCACACUGGAACUGGAACACCGACCAUACUCCUACGGGAGGCAGCAGUGGGGAAUAUUGGACAAUGGGCGCAAGCCUGAUCCAGCCAUACCGCGUGGGUGAAGAAGGCCUUCCGGUUGUAAAGCCCUUUUGUUGGGAAAGAAAAGCAGCAGGUUAAUACCCCGCUGUUCUGACGGUACCCAAAGAAUAAGCACCGGCUAACUUCGUG
RNAcentral lists this ribosomal RNA (492 nucleotides) under uncultured bacterium. RNAcentral's name for it is "partial 16S ribosomal RNA". It matches the Rfam family "Bacterial small subunit ribosomal RNA", at positions 29 to 507 of the family's 1533-position model. The record is from RNAcentral.